GGGUGCACAAAGUCACUGUAACAUAAGCAAAGAUUGUUGCUCAAUAUUACAAAUGCCAAAUGUGAAAAGACUUUUUUUUAAAGUCAAGAUAAACACAUCUCUCUAAUACCAUAGAAAACUUCAGUCCCGGUGAACAUACAGUUCACUAGGACUGAAGCAGCAGUGAGAACAGUCACUGGUGCACUUUGUUCCAUCAAACAGCAUAUUUGCAAGCUGAAAUCUUUCAUUGACCAGUGAAGAUGUUUCCCAAGCUACAGGAUAAAUUAAAUAUUCCAAGGUGAAGUGGUCAUACCAAACGAAUGUCCAAAACAGAACUGACUCCUAAAAGAAAAGGCUGCCUAAGAAACUCUCCCGGCGGUAAAGCCAUUUGAAAAUGGGCGAAGACGAACUGUGAUGAAAGUAGUCCCUUUCGCUAUCUUCUCCAUGGAAACACAUGCAAAGCUGGUGCACUGGAAAUACUGCAGAGGACAUUUUCAUGAACUACCCACUAUUUUUAU
Long non-coding RNA from Polyodon spathula (Mississippi paddlefish), 497 nucleotides. RefSeq lists it as uncharacterized. The record is from RefSeq and is a predicted model, not a curated record. The transcript has 2 exons. Lineage: Eukaryota; Metazoa; Chordata; Actinopteri; Acipenseriformes; Polyodontidae.